This 813-nucleotide ribosomal RNA is filed under the name uncultured crenarchaeote. Its description in RNAcentral is "bacterial SSU rRNA". It matches the Rfam family "Archaeal small subunit ribosomal RNA", at positions 52 to 869 of the family's 1478-position model. The record is from RNAcentral. Lineage: Archaea; Thermoproteati; Thermoproteota.
UGCGAGUCAUUGUAGUAAUACAAGGCAGACGGCUCAGUAACGCGUAGCCACAUCUUAACCUAUGGACGGGAAUAACCUCGGGAAACUGAGUAUAAUGCCCGAUAGAACAUUAUGCCUGGAAUGGUUUAUGUUCCAAAUGAUUUAUCGCCGUAGGAUGGGACUGCGGCCUAUCAGUUUGUUGGUGAGGUAAUGGCCCACCAAGACUAUUACAGGUACGGGCUCUGAGAGGAGUAGCCCGGAGAUGGGUACUGAGACACGGACCCAGGCCCUAUGGGGCGCAGCAGGCGAGAAAACUUUGCAAUGUGCGAAAGCACGACAAGGUUAAUCCGAGUGGUUUCUGCUAAAGGAACCUUUUGUCGGUCCUAGAAACACCGAUGAAUAAGGGGUGGGCAAGUUCUGGUGUCAGCCGCCGCGGUAAAACCAGCACCUCAAGUGGUCAGGAUGAUUAUUGGGCCUAAAGCAUCCGUAGCCGGCUCUGUAAGUUUUCGGUUAAAUCUGUACGCUUAACGUACAGGCUGCCGGGAAUACUGCAGAGCUAGGGAGUGGGAGAGGUAGACGGUACUCGGUAGAAAGGGGUAAAAUCCUUUGAUCUAUUGAUGACCACCUGUGGCGAAGGCGGUCUACCAGAACACGUCCGACGGUGAGGGAUGAAAGCUGGGGGAGCAAACCGGAUUAGAUACCCGGGUAGUCCCAGCUGUAAACUAUGCAAACUCAGUGAUGCAUUGGCUUGUGGCCAAUGCAGUGCUGCAGGGAAGCCGUUAAGUUUGCCGCCUGGGAAGUACGUACGCAAGUAUGAAACUCAAAUGAAUUGAU